RNAcentral lists this ribosomal RNA (253 nucleotides) under uncultured bacterium. Its description in RNAcentral is "partial 16S ribosomal RNA". It matches the Rfam family "Bacterial small subunit ribosomal RNA", at positions 524 to 776 of the family's 1533-position model. The record is from RNAcentral.
UACGUAGGGUGCGAGCGUUAAUCGGAAUUACUGGGCGUAAAGGGUGCGCAGGCGGUUCUGCAAGUCAGGCGUGAAAGCCCCGGGCUCAACCCGGGAACUGCGUCCGAGACUGAAAGGCUUGAAUCCGGGAGAGGGAUGUGGAAUUCCAGGUGUAGCGGUGAAGUGCGUAGAUAUCUGGAGGAACAUCGGUGGCGAAGGCGGCAUCCUGGACCGGUAUUGACGCUGAGGCGCGAAAGCCAGGGGAGCAAACGGG